GCUGCUCCUAGAGGCUUUGCAGGUAUAGCUAUUGUGCCACUCGUGUAUCAAUAGGUGGCAGAGAGGAGAGAGGCUAUGUCUACACUCAGUGUUCUGACCAAUAAAUAUCUGAAUGAUUAGUAACCUAACAUU
Molecule: small nucleolar RNA, 132 nt
Organism: Arvicanthis niloticus (Nile rat)
Lineage: Eukaryota; Metazoa; Chordata; Mammalia; Rodentia; Muridae
Product: small nucleolar RNA SNORA17
Source: RefSeq, a predicted model, not a curated record